GCUCAACCUGGGAACUGCAUUUGAAACUGGCAAGCUAGAGUCUCGUAGAGGGGGGUAGAAUUCCAGGUGUAGCGGUGAAAUGCGUAGAGAUCUGGAGGAAUACCGGUGGCGAAGGCGGCCCCCUGGACGAAGACUGACGCUCAGGUGCGAAAGCGUGGGGAGCAAACAGGAUUAGAUACCCUGGUAGUCCACGCUGUAAACGAUGUCGAUUUGGAGGUUGUGCCCUUGAGGCGUGGCUUCCGGAGCUAACGCGUUAAAUCGACCGCCUGGGGAGUACGGCCGCAAGGUUAAAACUCAAAUGAAUUGACGGGGGCCCGCACAAGCGGUGGAGCAUGUGGUUUAAUUCGAUGCAACGCGAAGAACCUUACCUACUCUUGACAUCCAGAGAACUUAGCAGAGAUGCUUUGGUGCCUUCGGGAACUCUGAGACAGGUGCUGCAUGGCUGUCGUCAGCUCGUGUUGCGAAAUGUUGGGUUAAGUCCCGCAACGAGCGCAACCCUUAUCCUUUGUUGCCAGCGGUUCGGCCGGGAACUCACAGGAGACUGCCAGUGAUAAACUGGAGGAAGGUGGGGAUGACGUCUAGUCAUCAUGGCCCUUACGAGUAGGGCUACACACGUGCUACAAUGGCGUAUACAAAG
Molecule: ribosomal RNA, 637 nt
Filed under: uncultured bacterium
Lineage: Bacteria
Description: bacterial SSU rRNA
Rfam family: Bacterial small subunit ribosomal RNA
Source: RNAcentral